UCUUAAUCUCACCUACGCCCUCUACCUCGUGGGCAUCGUCGUGCAGUUGAUGUACAUCGGUUCUGUGCAGCUGCCCCUGUACCUCGACCAAACUAGCACGAUCGUAGAGACAACAGGUUAUUUUUUCAUCGGUGGAUUAAUCGCCCUUUGGCUUUCGCUCGCCGUUGAAGUUCCUGUCACUGGACUGGAGAAAUUGCUGAUUCGUCGUCAAACCAAAACUGACGAGGCACCGAAGAAAGAAUGAAGUGGACCGGAGUUCAUUAGUGAUUUAGUGCGUGUGCAUGACGUUUUUACAAGACAGAAAUGGUUGACUUUUUACAAGAAAACGAAAUGUGUCUUUAGGGCCAACAUUAAAACAAUGCUGCUGAUUUUCAUUCG
Molecule: long non-coding RNA, 378 nt
Organism: Penaeus chinensis
Lineage: Eukaryota; Metazoa; Arthropoda; Malacostraca; Decapoda; Penaeidae
Exons: 3
Source: RefSeq, a predicted model, not a curated record